Molecule: ribosomal RNA, 435 nt
Filed under: uncultured bacterium
Lineage: Bacteria
Description: partial 16S ribosomal RNA
Rfam family: Bacterial small subunit ribosomal RNA
Source: RNAcentral
AGCGAACGCUGGCGGCAGGCUUAACACAUGCAAGUCGAGCGGGCACUUUCGGGUGUCAGCGGCGGACGGGUGGGUAACGCGGGGGAACGUGCCCUCUGGUUCGGAAUAACUCAGGGAAACUUGAGCUAAUACCGGAUACGCCCUUUUGGGGAAAGGCUUGCUGCCGGAGGAUCGGCCCGCGUCUGAUUCGCUAGUUGGUGAGGUAACGGCUCACCAAGGCGACGAUCAGUAGCUGGUCUGAGAGGAUGAUCAGCCACACUGGGACUGAGACACGGCCCAGACUCCUACGGGAUGCAGCAGUGGGGAAUAUUGGACUAUGGGCGCAAUCCUGAUCCAGCCAUGCCGCUUGAGUGAUGAAGUUCUUAGGGUUGUAAAGCUCUUUUAUCCGGGACGAUAAUGACGGUACCGGAGGAAUAAGCCCCGGCUAACUUCGUG